AAGAGAGUUUUAAGUAGGAAGCAAGGUCGAGUUGUUCUGUCAACAUUCAGAAAAGAAACUCUAUUCAAUGCUGUAAUUUCAAAUUUUCCAAAAAAUACCUCUUCAAAUUCCUGAUUAUCCCCUGAUGUGGUUCUUACCUGGCAGAAUAUUUCUGCCAGGGUUCAAAAUUGUGCUCACCCACAAGGUAACACCUACAUAGCAGAUUCAGAAAUCCCCAUUCCCUGUCCACCCUCAAAACUCUUCCUGUCUACUGGUGAAAAAACACAGCUUGAUAGUCAACUGACUAAGCAGUAGUGUAAAAGGUAGAUAGCAAAAAAGAAAGCCCUAUGAAUGUAUUACCCAAAUUAAAGCAUGGCAUAAACAUAAACACAGAAAAAGUUGAGAUAACCAUAAAUGAACAUAAAUGUGUAAUUUGACUGCAGCAUCAAGUUCAGACUCAACAUCAAACCUUUUCCUGGGGAACAUGCUAGGGCAUUAUUCUCUCAGAUGAGAUAGAAAGAUGCCUAUGCAACCGUGAAGCUCUUAGCUGUGGCAGCUAUCAUGCUGAUAUUGUUUUCCCAAUUCAAAAACUGUCCAUGAGCUGAUUGCACCCUCAUCCUCGAACACUAUAAAACUCCUCACUACCCCCCCCCAGGGUGGGUCACAUGGUCUUCAGGGCAUUAGCCCACGAUGGCCCCCUUUGCCUAGCAAAGCAAUAAAAGCUGCUCUUUUCUACUUUUCCCAAAACUCCGUCUCUGUUUCUAUUCAGCACCAGAGACAGAGUCCAGGAUUUUGGCAACAACUCAGAGACCUAAAAGUGGGCUCCGGCUGCUGCCUCAGCUGUCCCAGGAGUGUGUGGACCCACGAGCAGGAACCUGUCCUGAGAGUGAGGGGCCAGCCGCUGCCACUGGGAGACUUAUGUCAAAACUGAGGAGUCAAAAUGCAGUCUAAAAGAAGUUUAUCCUCUCAUCUCCACCCUUGUUCCACCCUGCUGCCCUCAAAGCUCAGGAUGCACUGAAGUGCCUCAAGAAUUCUCCUCUGUCUCCAGUUCUCACUCUGGCCACCAGACUGCUUGGGGAAGGAAUCAUGACUCAAGGAGAGCAGUUCUCCUCAACAGCUCUGCAGAGCACCCAGAGGAAAUUGAGAUGAAAAAAAAAAAAUCUGCCUUUUUCGAAAUCAAGUCCCUUUCUAAAGGAAACGCAGAAGGUCAGCAGCAGAGCCUAAAAUACAAACUCCUAACUCCAAACCUCAGCUUUCCACAAAUCUUACGACUGUCAGGCCACCAGCCCCUCCUUCCUCCCUGGAAACGGUAAUGGUAAGUGAUCCCUUUUCAGGAUCUCUCUAUAGACAAUUACAUUUUAAGUGAUUCAGAGUAGUCACUU
RNAcentral lists this long non-coding RNA (1361 nucleotides) under Bos indicus x Bos taurus (hybrid cattle). Its description in RNAcentral is "lncRNA (ENSBIXG00000024014.1)". Lineage: Eukaryota; Metazoa; Chordata; Mammalia; Artiodactyla; Bovidae. The record is from RNAcentral.